This 446-nucleotide ribosomal RNA is filed under the name uncultured bacterium. RNAcentral describes it as "partial 16S ribosomal RNA". It matches the Rfam family "Bacterial small subunit ribosomal RNA", at positions 338 to 795 of the family's 1533-position model. The record is from RNAcentral.
CCUACGGGAGGCUGCAGUAGGGAAUUUUCGGCAAUGGGGGGAACCCUGACCGAGCAACGCCGCGUGAACGAAGAAGUUAUUCGUAAUGUAAAGUUCUUUUAACAGGGAAGAAAGAGAAAUUUGACGGUACCUGAAGAAUAAGCUCCGGCUAACUACGUGCCAGCAGCCGCGGUAAUACGUAGGGAGCGAGCGUUAUCCGGAAUUAUUGGGCGAAAAGGGUGCGUAGAUGGCAUAGUAAGUCUUUUGUAAAAAUGCUGGGCUCAACCCAGUAGGGCAAAAGAUACUGCAAAGCUAGAGUAUGACAGAGGCAAGUGGAACUACAGGUGUAGCGGUAAAAUGCGUAAAGAUAAGUAAGAACACCAGUGGCGAAGGCGGCUUGCUGGGUCGAUACUGACAUUGAGGCACGAAAGCGUGGGGAGUAAACAGGAUUAGAUACCCCAGUAGUC